GUUGAGAAAUACGGACAAAAGCCAAGGAGAGGAGGGUUCAGUGCACAGCCAUGCAUCGAGGUUUUGAAUAUUUUUAUAAUUCUAAAAUACACAUGAUACUUCAUGAGGGCUGUUUCUCAAUGUAUUAUAUACAUUACCAUUUGAAAUAAUGCCUUUUGUAAGGAAAGCCUUUGACGUAACAAGCACAAUGGAAGAGAGCUCUUAAAUUUUAAAAUCAUAUGGAUUGACCCAUGAUUUUUGGAUGCUGGAGAAGCUGCUUUGAUUCUCAGAAAAAGACAAAAAGGAACUUGGUUUUUUUUUUUAUUGCAUAAUUUUCAAAUCUUUGAAAUUCAACUCCAAAAGACAGUGGUUAAUAGUCAAAUUGCUGACAUUGUUAAA
This 378-nucleotide long non-coding RNA is filed under the name Pseudonaja textilis. Its description in RNAcentral is "lncRNA (ENSPTXG00000003944.1)". The record is from RNAcentral. Lineage: Eukaryota; Metazoa; Chordata; Lepidosauria; Squamata; Elapidae.